GCGCCGGCGGCAACGGGUCUCCGUAGCCGGCGAUGGAAAUCCCCAGGCCUGGUCCCUGGGCGGCUCAUUCCAGGGUUCCUUUAUUUUUGGACCUAAAAAAACCACACCAGCUUUUGCUGAGGACAGCGCUGGGCUCUCCCAUCCUGGCACACGGGCAAAGAGAGGAAGCGGGGAGGAGGCAGGAACCAGACGCGACUCCCCGUGCCUUUCUUCCCCUCCCUGUUCCCCGCCCCUCCAGGAAGAAAUCAGUCAGAGAUCCAUCCCUCGCUGUGGCCACUGUGCCUGCACCAACCACUACGCCCGCCCUCCUUUUCCUUCCACCCGAUUUUGCACUGAGAGCCCGACUGCCCGCGCGCCCCAGGCUGGGCAGGUCCUGGCAGGCGGUGCAGGCUCCCCUCCCCCGGGGCUUCUCAGCGAAUCACGUCGUUCCUGGGAUUUCAUGCUCGAGUGGCUCUUGCGUAACCCUACGCCCUGGCCUAAGUUAAUACUUUUUUUUCCCCAAAUACCGGGAUUACUCCUUUAGGGAAAGGCAAAUACUUCCGCCACGGAAUGGGCCUGGGAGUAAAAGCGUAAAUCAUCUUGCUGUCUCCCUUCCCCCACCCUCUACAGCCCCUUUGCGCGUCUCUACAGGCCCAGGGCUCAAACUGCGCCUCUGGGGUUCCUGGCGCGCGGUGAUCAGGGGCCAUGGAAAGGCCAGAGGAGGGCCCAGCCCAGACGUUUGUUUUCAUCUUCUCCGAGGCGGAUCUCGCAGGCCAGAGAAGUGGGUCCCGCUUACCGCGGGGCUGUUACCAAAAAAGGCCUUUCUUUCGCUGGAGCGCUUGGCGGCGCGCGUUGCAGCGGGGUGACGCGAGGUUCAGCCCGGGCCUCCUCGAAGGUUGAGCCAGCUGACUGCAGGGAUGCCAGGCCAAGAGUACCCCCCGCCCCCCCCAACCCACCCGCCCCGUCUCUGCCACAAAACGGCGGGGACAGAAGACUGCAGGGAGCUUCGAAGUGCGCGCCUAGCGACCUUCUCACCACUAGUAACCUUGGGCUAUGGUGCUCCGGAAAGGCCAGGUGGAAAGCUGACCUUUUGCUCCAGUUUACAGCAGGGUUCUCUGAGGAUGCCAGCCCAGAUGGCAAGCUGGGUGGGGAAAGCGACAUAGGAAGGAACUUUGGGAAGACGAUGUCGCCGUUUGGCGCCCGGCUCUGCUAGUCUCGGCUUGUCUCCCAGACCCCAUGGACAGAGUUCUGUGAGUCUCUGCACGUGGCAGUUUACGUUGAGGCUCCUCCACCUCCACCAACCCCCUCCCAAAUCCUUUCCAGUUCCUUUCCACUGUUGUCAUAGUUUUGUUGCACGGGACUCUUCUUCGGGGAGAAAACCCACCUCCAGAACAUUGGAGUUCUUGCCUCUCACCGUCUCUCACACAUCCUCAAACGGCCAUCUCAGACAGGCAACAUGAGAUACCACAAAU
This is an RNA transcript of Piliocolobus tephrosceles (Ugandan red Colobus), 1451 nucleotides long. RefSeq lists it as uncharacterized. The record is from RefSeq and is a predicted model, not a curated record. Lineage: Eukaryota; Metazoa; Chordata; Mammalia; Primates; Cercopithecidae. The transcript has 2 exons.